Molecule: long non-coding RNA, 995 nt
Organism: Hevea brasiliensis (rubber tree)
Lineage: Eukaryota; Viridiplantae; Streptophyta; Magnoliopsida; Malpighiales; Euphorbiaceae
Exons: 5
Source: RefSeq, a predicted model, not a curated record
UGGGUUACUUUACUUUUCAUCAAACUUUUUCCUUGCAAAAAAGUUUCUUCUACGUGCUCUCCAAGCGAAAUCACAAAAUCAAAAAACAAGAUUCAAGCUAAAGAGAUAAUAGAGUGAUCGUUUAUCACCUGUACUUGUUCACACUGAAGUCAAAUGUGAGGAAUAGAGCCCAUCCUGAAGGUUCAAUUGCUGAGUGGUAUAUAGCAAAUGAAUCUAUGACAUAUUGUUCUAGAUACUUUGAAGGUGUUGAAACAAAUUUUAAUCGAUCAUUAAGGAAUGAUGAUGAAGUUGAUCUGCCCCCACCACAAAAUGCUCCUUUGCUUAUUGUACCAGGUUGUCCAAUUGGAAAAGUAUUUGAUGCAAUUCUUGAUGAACAAACACGUAUGCAAGCACAUCGAUAUGUUCUAUACAAUUGUGAUUCCAUCACUCCAUUCAUUGAGGAGCAUCGAAACAUAAUUAAAAGACAAAAUCGUAGUAAAAAUCAUAAUCGUGGAGCUUCUGAUACCGAGUUAGAAAGACUUCAUAAUUCAACAUUUAUUAGUUGGUUCUGCUCUCAUAAUUUGAAGAAGAUAAUUGGACCAAGAAUGAUAUUGAUGGCAUAAUUGUUGAUAUAGAGGAGGGAGCUAAAAAAAGUUGAUGAUGCAUUAGAAGAAGAAUAAUGCAUCACUUUCAAGUCCAAGUUUGGUCUUCAUUGCUUCUGCAUGUUGUUUUCUACAGAAUCUGGUGCAGAGUUCCUCUACUCGCUUUGGUUUUUAGUUUUUUGCUUCUCUUGCCUCAUGCACAUAGCUAUAUUAAUAUUUUAGCUUUGUCUCAUGAGUUUUUGGAUCUUUGUAAUGUCCAACUUUAUAUGUCUGUUUUCACUUUGCUAUAGUUGUUAUCUAAUAGUCUAUAGGUUUUUUCACUUAGCUAGUUGUUGCCUAGGAUUAGGCACAGGGGUGAGACCUAUCGGCCUGGUUUUAGCUAGCGAUCUGAUUUUUAUUUAAUAAAAUAUCAAU